Molecule: long non-coding RNA, 114 nt
Organism: Pygocentrus nattereri (red-bellied piranha)
Lineage: Eukaryota; Metazoa; Chordata; Actinopteri; Characiformes; Serrasalmidae
Exons: 4
Source: RefSeq, a predicted model, not a curated record
ACAGGUGGACUAAUCAAUGGACAAACAACAGGUGGACUAAUCAAUGGACAAACAACAGGUGGACUAAUCAAUGGACAAACAACAGGUGGACUAAUCAAUGGACAAACAACAGGU